GACGAACCGUCCAAACGUUGUUCGGAAUCACUGGGCUUAAAGGGCGCGUAGGCGGGUGACCAAGUCCGGGGUGAAAUCUUUCGGCUCAACCGGAAAACUGCCUUGGAUACUGGUCAUCUUGAGGGAGGUAGGGGUCUGUGGAACUGAUGGUGGAGCGGUGAAAUGCGUUGAUAUCAUCAGGAACGCCGGUGGCGAAAGCGACGGACUGGACCUUCACUGACGCUGAGGCGCGAAAGCUAGGGGAG
Molecule: ribosomal RNA, 245 nt
Filed under: uncultured bacterium
Lineage: Bacteria
Description: partial 16S ribosomal RNA
Rfam family: Bacterial small subunit ribosomal RNA
Source: RNAcentral